AGUAAAGUUGACCGUCUCCUAGUCUCCCUGGAACGUUCGCCGGCGAGUCCGUCGGUGAUAUUCCCCUGAAAAAUCACGGCGCUCGCGACGCUGUAGCGCCGGCGCUGUACCCAUGUGGACGUAAUUGCCGUCCCUGCAGUAUGCGUCGCAGUGGUUUGCUUAGCAUGAAGGGUCUUGGACCGUUUGACGGCAAGAACUCAGCAUCGUUCGAGCACGCACGGUAGAGAGCGUUGUGUGUUGGUAAUCCAUCGUUGAAGAAGGGUGAGAAUCGGUGGAGAGCACUGCAGUGGGUGGAUUCUCUUGUUUGAGCACUCCUUCGCUCCGAAUUGAGUUUUGAGAGACAUUUCUGCAGUUCCCAGGUCUGGGAUUUCAUAUUCCUCUUUCUUUGGAGGCUCUGCUCGAUCAAUCUCUCUUAUUGCCUUUGUAUUAGUACAAUUCUCUUGAGAUGAAAAGAAGAGAACCCACUCAUCCAGAAGAUCCGAUGUAUGGGGCGUCUUCCUCAUCGACCUCUCCACAUGUUGGUGAUUGUGAAUGCGGAACCAAAAAGCCAAAAGGAAAUAACUACGAAGUAUUCUUGAGCUUUAGAGGGGAAGACACUCGCAAAGGCUUCACCGAUCAUCUCUAUAUUGGCCUUUUGAAUGCAGGAAUUUGUGUGUUCAGAGACAACAAUGAGCUCCCCGUUGGUGAGGAGAUUGGUCAGGAGAUUCUCUGCAGUAUUACGCAGUCUAAGAUCUCCAUCCCGAUUAUCUCAGAGAACUACGCUUCCAGCAAAUGGUGCCUUCGUGAGCUGGCUCAGAUGUUGAAGUGCAAGAAAAGCGAAGAGCAAUUAGUGUUACCCAUAUUUUACAAAGUGGAACCCUCGAAGUUACGACAUCUUACAGGGAGUUUUGGAGCUGCUAUCAAUGAACAUAAAGAGAAUUUGGAUGAAGUGGUUGUGAAGGAAUGGGAAGAAGCGCUUGAAGAAGUCAGUUACUUGAAAGGAUGGGAAUCGGACAAAGUUAAUGAUGGGUACAUUAUUCUCCACCAAAACU
Molecule: long non-coding RNA, 1031 nt
Organism: Eucalyptus grandis
Lineage: Eukaryota; Viridiplantae; Streptophyta; Magnoliopsida; Myrtales; Myrtaceae
Exons: 3
Source: RefSeq, a predicted model, not a curated record